AUGGGCAACAGAUCGUCUUCCUCAGCUAAGCCUGGCCAGUCUCCGUCCGAGACGGCGUCGAGAUGCCUCACGGAGAGCUUCACGGGGACCCACGAUUUUGAGAUUAUCAACUACUCGCUGCUCGUUGGCAUGGGCGUCGGCAAGUUCGUAAGCUCGAGCACAUUCUGCGUCGGUGGCUACAACUGGAAUAUCAGGCUCUAUCCGGACGGAGUCACGAAAGACCACGCUGGCAAAGGGUCAGUGUUUUUGCACCAUCUCUGCUCACCGGAUUCAAAGGGUGUGAGGACAAAGUUCACAUUAAGCGUUCUGGAGAAACACGGCCAAGUAACCAGGGCUCUAGUCGACCACAUCUUUCCUCGAGCUCAUACUAGUGACGGUUUCGGCUACACCAGAUUCUUCGACAAUUCAAAGCUGAAAUCAAUGCCAGACCUCUACUAUGGCUCAUUGACCAUAAGGUGCGUACUCACCAUCAUAAAAGAAUCUCACACGGAGCUUAAGACGAACCUUGCCGUGGCUCCACCGUCGAAUCUGCAAGAGCAUCUCCGGCACAUGCAUGUGGAUGGAGAUGGUGCAGAUGUGACAUUCAGUGUUCGUGGCCAAUUGUUCAAUGCCCACAGAUGUUUGUUGGCUGCACGGUCCCCGGUUUUCAAGGCAGAACUCUUCGGUCCGAUGAAAGAAAACUCAACUCGGUGCAUCGAGAUUGAUGACAUUGAGCCACAAGUCUUUGAGGCCCUUCUUCACUUUAUAUACACAGAUUGCAUGAUGGAUGGUUAUGAAGAAGGAAAAACUGAAAAUCUACAACACCUACUAGUUGCGGCGGAUCUAUAUGGAGUGGAGAGGUUGAGGGUUAUGUGUGAAGGUAAAUUAUGUGAUAGCAUCGACUUGAAAACAGUCGCGACAACGCUAACUUUAGCGGAGCAACAUAACUGCGGGGUUCUCAAAAAAGCAUGUAUUGAGUUUCUAGCAUCAGGGAAGACACUUGAAGCUGUGAAGAAAACAGAUUCAGAUGUAUUCAAACAUCUCGAGGCAAGCUGUCCUCAUCUCAUGCAGGAGAUUUUAUUCGCAAGGAUGCCUCCCAUGUGA
Molecule: ribosomal RNA, 1083 nt
Filed under: Triticum aestivum (bread wheat)
Lineage: Eukaryota; Viridiplantae; Streptophyta; Magnoliopsida; Poales; Poaceae
Description: partial small subunit ribosomal RNA
Source: RNAcentral